RNAcentral lists this ribosomal RNA (301 nucleotides) under uncultured bacterium. RNAcentral's name for it is "partial 16S ribosomal RNA". It matches the Rfam family "Bacterial small subunit ribosomal RNA", at positions 509 to 807 of the family's 1533-position model. The record is from RNAcentral.
CAGCCGCCGCGGUAAAACGAAGGGGGCUAGCGUUGUUCGGAUUUACUGGGCGUAAAGGGCGCGUAGGCGGGCGAAUAAGUCAGGGGUGAAAUCCCAAGGCUCAACCUUGGAACUGCCUUUGAUACUGUUUGUCUUGAGUUCGAGAGAGGUAAGUGGAACUGCGAGUGUAGAGGUGAAAUUCGUAGAUAUUCGCAAGAACACCAGUGGCGAAGGCGGCUUACUGGCUCGAAACUGACGCUGAGGCGCGAAAGCGUGGGGAGCAAACAGGAUUAGAUACCCCCGUAGUCCCUGUCUCUUAUAC